GGAUAGCUUAGUUGGUAGAACAUGAGGCUCUUAAUCUAAGGGCUAUGGGUUCAAGCCCCACCUUGGGGCA
Non-coding RNA from Podarcis lilfordi (Lilford's wall lizard), 70 nucleotides. NCBI's taxonomy places the organism in Eukaryota, Metazoa, Chordata, Lepidosauria, Squamata, Lacertidae. The record is from the annotation of a GenBank genome assembly.